AUGAAGGGGUUAGCAGAUGAACUGGCUGCUGCAGGAAAGCCCCUCGAGGAGGAUGAUAUCGUCUUGCACAUCCUCGAGGGCCUCAUGCAUGAGCCCGACUAUAACGGGUUCGUCACCUCCAUCUCCACGCACGCUGCCACCGAUCGGCCGAUCGGUCUCAGCGAACUCUUCUCGUUGCUGCUCUCUGCGGAGGCCCGGAUCACCGCCCAGCACGCCGCCUUCUCCGCUCAUCACUCCGCCAACCUCGCUGCGAAAGGUGGUCGUGGUGGCUACGGU
Molecule: ribosomal RNA, 276 nt
Filed under: Triticum aestivum (bread wheat)
Lineage: Eukaryota; Viridiplantae; Streptophyta; Magnoliopsida; Poales; Poaceae
Description: partial small subunit ribosomal RNA
Source: RNAcentral